Pseudopipra pipra is the source of this 470-nucleotide long non-coding RNA. RefSeq lists it as uncharacterized. NCBI's taxonomy places the organism in Eukaryota, Metazoa, Chordata, Aves, Passeriformes, Pipridae. The transcript is spliced from 3 exons. The record is from RefSeq and is a predicted model, not a curated record.
GCUUAGAGCACCAUCCAACCUGGCCUUGAACACUUCCAAGGAUGGAGCACCCACAACUUCUCUGAGCAACAUGUUGCAGUGCCUGACCACCCUCACAAUUAAUGCCUGGAUUAUUACCUGGAGAAAAGGAGGCUCAGAGGAGACCUUAUCACUCUGUACAACCACCUGGAAGGAGGUUGUAGCCAGAUGAGGGUUGGCCUCAUCUCCCAGGAAACUAGAGACAGGACAAGAGGACAUGGCCUCAAGCUGUGCCAGGGGAGGUUCAGGUUGGACAUCAGGAAGAAUUUCCUUAUGGAAGGGGUUGUGAAGCAUUGGAAUAGAUUGCCCAGGAAGGUGGUGGAGUCACAAUCCCUGGAGGUGUUCAAGAAACAACUGGAUGAGAAUGUUUCCCUACCUUACUGGAUGAAGACUCUUUUACUACACUGUCAUUAAACGUGUAAUAAACAGCCAAGGUCAAGGUAAUGGAAGUA